GGCUGCGUAGCUCAGGGGUAGAGCACUCGCCUGUCGAGCGAGAUGUCACGGGUUCGAAACCCGUCGCGGUCG
RNAcentral lists this transfer RNA (72 nucleotides) under Actinomycetota bacterium. RNAcentral describes it as "tRNA-Asp". It matches the Rfam family "tRNA". From Rfam's summary of the family: Transfer RNA (tRNA) molecules are approximately 80 nucleotides in length. Lineage: Bacteria; Bacillati; Actinomycetota. The record is from RNAcentral.